This 502-nucleotide ribosomal RNA is filed under the name uncultured bacterium. RNAcentral's name for it is "partial 16S ribosomal RNA". It matches the Rfam family "Bacterial small subunit ribosomal RNA", at positions 28 to 507 of the family's 1533-position model. The record is from RNAcentral.
GACGAACGCUGGCGGCGUGCCUAAUACAUGCAAGUCGAACGAACCGCGACUAGGUGCUUGCACUUGGUCAAGGUGAGUGGCGAACGGGUGAGUAACACGUGGGUAACCUACCUCAUAGUGGGGGAUAACAGUCGGAAACGACUGCUAAUACCGCAUAGGACAUAGGAUCACAUGAUUCUGUGAGGAAAGGUGGCGCAAGCUAUCGCUAAGAGAUGGACCCGCGGUGCAUUAGCUAGUUGGUAGGGUAAAGGCCUACCAAGGCGAUGAUGCAUAGCCGACCUGAGAGGGUGAUCGGCCACAUUGGGACUGAGACACGGCCCAAACUCCUACGGGAGGCAGCAGUAGGGAAUCUUCCGCAAUGGGCGCAAGUCUGACGGAGCAACGCCGCGUGAGUGAAGAAGGUCUUCGGAUCGUAAAGCUCUGUUGUUAGAGAAGAACAGCGCAUAGAGUAACUGUUAUGCGUGUGACGGUAUCUAACCAGAAAGCCACGGCUAACUACGUG